Ostrea edulis (European flat oyster) is the source of this 1335-nucleotide long non-coding RNA. RefSeq lists it as uncharacterized. NCBI's taxonomy places the organism in Eukaryota, Metazoa, Mollusca, Bivalvia, Ostreida, Ostreidae. The transcript is spliced from 2 exons. The record is from RefSeq and is a predicted model, not a curated record.
UUCACCUGUCAGAGUACAGUUGUAAUGAGAUUUGUACAUUAUAUUCACCUUUCAGAGUACACCUGUAAUGAGAUUUGUACAUUAUAUUAACCUGUCAGAGUACACCUGUAAUGAGAUUUGUACAUUAUAAUCACCUGUCAGAGUACACCUGUAAUGAGAUUUGUACAUUAUAUUCACCUGUCAGAGUACACCUGUAAUGAGAUUUGUACAUUAUAUUUACCUGUCAUAGUACACCUGUAAUGAGAUUUGUACAUUAUAAUCACCUGUACAUUAUAAUCACCUGUCAGAGUACACCUGUAAUGAGAUUUGUACAUUAUCAGGAUAUAGGGCCCACGGCGAGUGUGACCGGUCAACAGCGGAUGCUUAGUCCUCCUAGGCACCUGAUCCCACCUCUGGUGUGUCUAGGGGUCCGUGUUUGCCCAACUAUCUAUUUUGUAUUGCUUAUAGGAGUUAUGAGAUUGAUCACUGUUCGUUAUCUUCACCUUGCAUUCACCUGUCAGAAUACACCUGUAAUGAGAUGUGUACAUUAUAUUUACCUGUCAGAGUACACCUGUAAUGACAUUUAUACAUUAUAUUAACCUGUCAAGUACACCUGUAAGAAGAUUUGUACGUUUUAUUCACCUGUCAGAGUACACCUGUAAUGGUAUUUGUACGUUUGUUUACCUGUUAAUGUAUACAUCUGCAAAGAAAUAUUGAAUAAAGAACAAAUUAUCCUAUUUCUUUCAAUUUCAAAUAAUUUUUAUUCAUGAAUUUAACCCACCAUGGACCACAUUUCUAAAACGAAAGUAGAUUAGGGCUGUGACGUGUACUUUAAAUAAACUGCUUGUAAAAACAGGAAGAAGAGGGAAACUAUAGCGUUUUGGCAGUUUUUUAUUGUUCCCUUUGUUUGGAAUGAUUUUUUUCCAAGACAACCAGCUGUUGUUAAUAACAUCAAUAUAAAUGAUAGUGUUUGGAAGUAUAUUGUUCUGGUGGAAGGAGUCCUGCUCUUUAUUUGCCUUACAGUAUUCAUCUACUGUUAUUUCGAAUUCGGUUCAUCGCCAUCUGAGUGUCAUAAAGAAUAAAGACAGGGAAGACUUCUGCAGAAUAAAGACAGGGAAGACUUCUCCAGAAUAAAGACAGGGAAGACUUCUCCAGAAUAAAGACAGGGAAGACUUCUCCAAUCGUGGAAGUGACGACAUCAGUUUUAAAGUUAACUUGCUGAAACAGUAAACUCAUUGUAUUUUCUUAUGAACAUUGUUAACAUUGCUGAGUUGGAAAUACAUGUACUGUAGGGGGUUAUGAGAUUAAUCAAUGUGCGUUAUAUUCACCUUUCAUGUAAUAAAACGCACGAAUUAU